This 657-nucleotide long non-coding RNA is filed under the name Trifolium pratense (red clover). RNAcentral's name for it is "long non-coding RNA (TPRA_LNC014043)". Lineage: Eukaryota; Viridiplantae; Streptophyta; Magnoliopsida; Fabales; Fabaceae. The record is from RNAcentral.
UAUAAAUUGAUGAAACAUGUCAUUUGUAAUAUACACAUGUAAAAAAAUAUGACUAAAAUUCUCAUGUUUGUGUAUGUUAAUGUUAUGGUCCUCUUUCUUUUUCUAUUUCUUACUAUAACUGGAGUCAGCGGUAAGAUUUUCUUCUCAUAAUUUUCUUUAUCUUUAUACAUAAUAUUUCAUCCAAUUUCAAUGACACUCAUUUAAUCUUAUUUUACAUCACAGCAUUGGGUGAAUUUUGUUGUUUCAAUGGUGAUUGUUCGAGCUCUGAUUGCGAUAUACCUAAGGUUGGGACUUGCAUCAAGCGUCAUUGUUUGUGCUUGUAGUAAUUAAGUAUUGAAAAUGAUUUCAAUGUUAAUUAUAAUCACAUUAUUUUGGUGGUUGGUUUACAAGCAGAAUAUUUUACUAGCAGCUAAAAUAAUGUAUCUCUUAUUAUUUCUCGAGCAUAUCAAUUUAUAUCUUCUAAUUGUCCUGUUGUUACCUUUGUUUGCCAUCAAGAACCAAUGUUCAAUAAAUAAAGGAAAAAAUAGAGGUAAAUAAUUGUGUAAACAUUUAUUCGUUUAUUUAGCUUAAGAAUGGCGUAGCUUAAGAAUGGCGUGUAAUAUAAAUUAAAUAAAUAUGAUGUAUUUAAAGAAACUAAAUUGUAGGAUAUAAAGUUGU